GUCAGAGUUCUCUUCCAUGGAUACUUCACAUGGAAGCUAUACUUCUGAGAAAAUUGUCAAGAUGAAGGAGGGUGGCAAAAAUGGAGAAGUCAAAGUCAUUGCAACCCCAGUGAGGCGAUCAAGCAGAAUUCGCAGCAAAACAGUAAUGUCCCCAUGAAUCUUCUGGCCUUGCAUCGAAUGCAUCUAAUAUUCUAACUUGCCCCAAGCAAGCAGCAGCUAAUUUGUUCUCUUUAGUUCAGUAUUCUUCCACUGAAGAGUGUCUGGAGAAUUGGCUCUCUGAUGUGUGUCAAUGGUAGAGAAACUGAUCUGUUUCAGUAUGUAGGAGGCAUUGGAUGGAUUCCAUUUUAUAUCAUUCUAUGUCUUUAUUUG
This is a long non-coding RNA of Rosa rugosa (rugosa rose), 369 nucleotides long. RefSeq lists it as uncharacterized. NCBI's taxonomy places the organism in Eukaryota, Viridiplantae, Streptophyta, Magnoliopsida, Rosales, Rosaceae. The transcript has 2 exons. The record is from RefSeq and is a predicted model, not a curated record.